AAAACGACUCUCGGCAACGGAUAUCUCGGCUCUCGCAUCGAUGAAGAACGUAGCGAAAUGCGAUACUUGGUGUGAAUUGCAGAAUCCCGUGAACCAUCGAGUCUUUGAACGCAAGUUGCGCCCCAAGCCUUUUGGCCGAGGGCACGUCUGCUUGGG
This 156-nucleotide ribosomal RNA is filed under the name Didymophysa aucheri. RNAcentral describes it as "5.8S ribosomal RNA". It matches the Rfam family "5.8S ribosomal RNA". From Rfam's summary of the family: 5.8S ribosomal RNA (5.8S rRNA) is a component of the large subunit of the eukaryotic ribosome. The record is from RNAcentral. Lineage: Eukaryota; Viridiplantae; Streptophyta; Magnoliopsida; Brassicales; Brassicaceae.